Molecule: non-coding RNA, 320 nt
Organism: Pelobates cultripes (western spadefoot toad)
Lineage: Eukaryota; Metazoa; Chordata; Amphibia; Anura; Pelobatidae
Source: the annotation of a GenBank genome assembly
CUCUCACACCCAGCACUCUCACACCCAUCACACACAGCACUCUCUCACACAGCACUCACACCAUCACACUCACAGCACUCUCACAGAGCACUCUCACACACACACAGCACUCUCUCACAGCACUCUCACACCCAUCACACUCACAGCACUCUCACAGAGCACUCUCUCACACACAUCUCACACAGCACUCUCACACACGGCACUCUCACACCCAUCACUCACACACGGCACUCUCACACGGCACUCUCACACAUACCGCACCCCUCUCACACACACCGCACCCCUCACACACACACCGCACCCUUACACACACACAUACU